GGGGAUUUAGCUCAGUGGUAGAGCGCUUGCCCAGGAAGCGCAAGUCCCUGGGUUCGGUCCCCAGCUCCCCA
Molecule: non-coding RNA, 71 nt
Organism: Rattus norvegicus (Norway rat)
Lineage: Eukaryota; Metazoa; Chordata; Mammalia; Rodentia; Muridae
Source: Rfam